RNAcentral lists this ribosomal RNA (679 nucleotides) under Rhodococcus qingshengii. Its description in RNAcentral is "bacterial SSU rRNA". It matches the Rfam family "Bacterial small subunit ribosomal RNA", at positions 61 to 757 of the family's 1533-position model. Lineage: Bacteria; Bacillati; Actinomycetota; Actinomycetes; Mycobacteriales; Nocardiaceae. The record is from RNAcentral.
GUCGAGCGGUAAGGCCUUUCGGGGUACACGAGCGGCGAACGGGUGAGUAACACGUGGGUGAUCUGCCCUGCACUUCGGGAUAAGCCUGGGAAACUGGGUCUAAUACCGGAUAUGACCUCCUAUCGCAUGGUGGGUGGUGGAAAGAUUUAUCGGUGCAGGAUGGGCCCGCGGCCUAUCAGCUUGUUGGUGGGGUAAUGGCCUACCAAGGCGACGACGGGUAGCCGACCUGAGAGGGUGACCGGCCACACUGGGACUGAGACACGGCCCAGACUCAUACGGGAGGCAGCAGUGGGGAAUAUUGCACAAUGGGCGAAAGCCUGAUGCAGCGACGCCGCGUGAGGGAUGACGGCCUUCGGGUUGUAAACCUCUUUCAGCAGGGACGAAGCGCAAGUGACGGUACCUGCAGAAGAAGCACCGGCUAACUACGUGCCAGCAGCCGCGGUAAUACGUAGGGUGCAAGCGUUGUCCGGAAUUACUGGGCGUAAAGAGUUCGUAGGCGGUUUGUCGCGUCGUUUGUGAAAACCAGCAGCUCAACUGCUGGCUUGCAGGCGAUACGGGCAGACUUGAGUACUGCAGGGGAGACUGGAAUUCCUGGUGUAGCGGUGAAAUGCGCAGAUAUCAGGAGGAACACCGGUGGCGAAGGCGGGUCUCUGGGCAGUAACUGACGCUGAGGAACGAA